CGAGGCCCGUUUCUCUCUUUGGUUAUCUAGCUGUAUGAGUGUUAUUGAGCUAUCAUAAAGCUAGAUAACCGAAAGUAGAAAUGACUUUCA
This is a microRNA precursor of Monodelphis domestica (gray short-tailed opossum), 90 nucleotides long. Ensembl annotates it as mdo-mir-9a-1. Its record names the gene mdo-mir-9a-1. NCBI's taxonomy places the organism in Eukaryota, Metazoa, Chordata, Mammalia, Didelphimorphia, Didelphidae. The record is from Ensembl.